Molecule: long non-coding RNA, 1010 nt
Organism: Bos taurus (domestic cattle)
Lineage: Eukaryota; Metazoa; Chordata; Mammalia; Artiodactyla; Bovidae
Source: Ensembl
GAUUGUUGUUGCUGCUUCUCCAUGUUAACAACCGCUGAUAGUUACUGUGGUUUUCUUGUUUUCCGUUGUGCUUUCUUAUCCUUUCGCUUAUCAGCAGUAUUAAAGCCAAAGGACACUUAGGAAAACUAGAAGGUCUUCAUGUAUGUAAAGGAUUUGAAAUAGCUCAACUGGAAUUCCAUCACCUCCACUAGCUUUGUUCAUAGUGAUGCUUCCUAAGGCCUACUUGACUUCACAUUCCAGGAUUUCUGGCUCUAGGUGAGUAAUCACACCAUCAUGAUUAUCUGGGUUGUGAAGAUCUUUUUUGUACAGUUCUUCUGUGUAUUCUUGCCACCUCUUCUUAAUAUCUUCUGCUUCUGUUAGGUCCAUACCAUAUCUGUCCCUUAUUGAGCCCAUCUUUGCAUGAAUUGUUCCCUUGGUAUCUCUAAUUUUCUUGAAGGGAUCUCUAAUCUUUCCCAUUUUAUUAUUUUCCUCUAUUUCUUUGCACUGAUCACUGAGGAAGGUUUUCUUAUCUCUCCUUACUAUUAUUUGGAACUCUGCAUUCAAAUGGGUAUGUCUUUCCUUUUGCAUAUAAUUAAAGCUAUGGUUUUUCCUGUAGUCACGCAGAUAUGAGAGUUGGACCAUAGAGAAAGCUAACCAAAGAAGUAAUGCCUUCAAACUGUGAUGCUGGAGAAGACUCUUUAACAGUCUUUUGGACAGCAAGGAGAUCAAAGCAGUCAGUGCUAAAGGAAAUCAAUCCUGAAGAAUCAUUGGAAGAACUUAUGUUGAAGCUCCAAUACGUCAGCCACCUGAUUCAAAGAGCUUAUUCAUUGGAGAAGACCCUGAUGUUGAGAAAGAUUGAAGGCAAAGGAGAAGGGGGCGGCAGAGGAUGAGAUGGUUAGAUAGCAUCACCAACUCAGAGUACAUGAAUUUGAGCAAACUCCAAUAGAUAGUGGAGAACAGAGGAGCCUGGCAUGCUGCAGUCCAUGGGGUUGCAGAGUUGGACACAACUUAGAAGCUGAACAGUAGCAUGG